This is a non-coding RNA of Phyllostomus hastatus (greater spear-nosed bat), 235 nucleotides long. RefSeq annotates it as small Cajal body-specific RNA 6. The record is from RefSeq and is a predicted model, not a curated record. NCBI's taxonomy places the organism in Eukaryota, Metazoa, Chordata, Mammalia, Chiroptera, Phyllostomidae. The transcript has a single exon.
GCUCUUAAAAUCGAUGCAUCAUUCAAAGCCCAAUGGUCUAACUGCCUCACUCCCAUCAGGCUCCAGUAGUGUUCUGAUGGGCAAAGGACAGUUGACACUAGGUCAUGCCCCAGGUCUGUGAUUCUGGGUGAGCCCAGGGAGAAUGCAUGGGUAACAUUCUAUAGCCAAUCUCAAGAGGACCUGAUUGCUGGGAGUGUGGUAUCUGAGGUUCUGAUGUCACUUUCCAACUGAGACC